ACGCCCUUGCUUUAGGUUAAAUUUUUAUUAAAAAAAAAAAGUCUUUGACAUUACACCCUAAACAUUAUGCGGUAUAGUAUAAUUUUGAGUGGCCCGUUUGGUUUGGCGGAAAACCCAAUUCUAUUCCAGUCCAAUUCCGCCUGGAUUCUAAGCCAGCGUUCCUGGACUCUUAUUUGGGUCGGGGUUCAAAUUCUGAGGGAGUCCUUAUUCCCAUCAAACCCGGAUUAGCAAAUCCCCCGUCCCAGCCUAGAUUUCGAAUUCGGACCUCCUCAGAGUUGGGCCCGAGGAUGAGAUACCAAAUAUACCCCCAGCUCUUGCUUCCCUCCGCCACCGCUGCCGCUGAUCUUGCCGCGGCCACCUGUUGACCUCUGGUGAUGGAGCUUGGACCAACCUCUCCGGGCUAGUCUCGGCACGGCGAGGCUGGAUCUGACCUCAAGGACGCUCGCGGAAACCCUAGCAAGAGAGAGAGAGAGAGAGAGACGACGACGACGACGACUCCGACUCUGUGCAGCUCGAGAUCCUCCUUCCGAAGGAGCCAAAGCUAAUCAAUCAUGAUGAGAUCGCUAUCUGAAGCCUGAAUCGUGGAAUGAUGGGUCGAUCACCAAAGAGGAUGAAUUUCUCCAAUUAAAAUUUGAGAGGAGGGACAGAAAGCUAACGUAACCAAUCAGGAACCAUCGAUGCCAUUUCCAUUCUCGACAUGAAUGGCCUAUGAUGAUGGUUGAAAUCGAAAUUGGUAUAGAAAACUUGGAGAAGGGGAAGUCGGUUGAUCACAUGAUUGUGAAGAUUUCACUCUCUUGCUAUAUAGCUGGGGAAUGGCGACUCGGAAUAUGUUCUGUUUUACCGAGAACAAUCAAUCCUUAUGUUUGAUCCGGAUUGCUGCAUUUUAGAGUCAUAAAAAUGAAAGCGAUGUGCAGAGAUGGCUCACGAUAUCUUGAGGAUUACUGUCAUGAAUUAAGAAUUUAUAUCAAUGGUCUAGUUAGGGAGAGAUAUGAUCAUUUGAGGGUUUCUCUCCUUAGAUAGCAUUCCCUUCUAUACCAAAAUGUUGGCGCUAGCAAUUGAAGUCUAGAGGCCACGAUUAUUAGCCGCGACUAUUAUAACAAUAAUCGAGUGGCCAGGCUCCCAUAAUGGUAGGCCAUUUUUUGUAGAUCCUAAAAGUGCACAUGAACAGAUAUAUUUCUUAUUUGA
This is a non-coding RNA of Punica granatum (pomegranate), 1185 nucleotides long. NCBI's taxonomy places the organism in Eukaryota, Viridiplantae, Streptophyta, Magnoliopsida, Myrtales, Lythraceae. The record is from RefSeq and is a predicted model, not a curated record.